AUCGCCAAGAGCUGUAAAACGCUGUAAAAUCGAUCGGAAGAUUAAAACUGUUCAAUUUAUUUAGUGUAUUCUUCGUCCUAUAAGCAAUGUUGAAUUUUACAAAUGGAAUAGUACUACUUCUGAGUGUCGUAAAACAUCGAAGCGAAUUUGACACAAAAGUUAAGUUCGCUGAGCUCAAUAAUGCAAUAGAUCAAAUUAAUUAUGCCAUGGGAGAUUAUUCCGGUAACGCCCAACCAAAUGUUUAUACGGCCAGGAGUUUAAACGAAGAAGCUCGGUUAACUUACCAGCAAUCCGUUGCCCCGGUUUUCGACUGGUGUGGGGAGGCCAUUGACAAAUUUAACACUAUCCUUCCCCAUAUAAGAAAAGAAAAUCUGUCAAAAGAAGACAAGGACUACAUAUGGAAUGUCACUGUAACUGCUGUUCAUGAUGGUCUAGAAAAAACUUCUUCUUCACUCGAAUUAUUAAACGACGUUCAAAGUAAAUCAUCUAAAGUGAUAAACCUCCUUACAACAAUUUUGCAUGAGACCUACGAUGACUUUGCUCCAAGCGGCUAUUAUGGAAAAAUUAAAAGUGAUGCUCAAAAACAAAUCAAUGAUUUAGAAUACUACUUAAAUGUCGAUAGUUAUUUGCAAUGGGUUCCUUUUGCUAAUGUUGUAAGUGCUAUUGUUGUGACAGCUAAAGAAUACCGUCGACAAAUUAUGGAGUUAGAUAUUAAAAAGUCAAAUAUUGAUGAAAAAUUGGAUAGAAUCGUACCUAAAAUUCAACAUGCCAGCCAGGUAGCAAAAAAUUGUGUAAAUCCGUAUCUGGAAGAGGACAAAACAAACUUGUUCGCACUUAGAGGCAAAGCUGGCGCGGUAGACAACAACAACCCACUCUUAAAAGUCGACAGCCCAACUCUCCGGGCUUUGUUUAUGCCAUCCCUUCAGGAAUUGAUUACUCAAUGCCAUAAGUAUACAGUGUGGCAUGGGCUUCAAAUAUAAGAGAUUAACCAACAAAGAUUAAGGUUUAAGACAUUAAUGUACCGGAACUUUUUGGUCAAUGCCAGUGAUCCAUAUAAUAUUGUAUAAUGUUUUCAUUAAAACCAAUCAAAAAUAUUUUGUAAUAACAACUUAACAAUGAAUAUAUUUUUCUAAGAGUUA
Molecule: long non-coding RNA, 1139 nt
Organism: Drosophila bipectinata
Lineage: Eukaryota; Metazoa; Arthropoda; Insecta; Diptera; Drosophilidae
Source: RefSeq, a predicted model, not a curated record